AGCAGCCGCGGUAAUUCCAGCUCCAAUAGCGUAUAUUAAAGUUGUUGCAGUUAAAAAGCUCGUAGUUGAAUUUCGGGAUCAAUACGUCGGUCGUGCUUUCGGGUACGUACUGGCGUCAUUGGUUUCUCCUUUCUGACGAACCAUGAUGUCAUUAAUUUGGUGUUAUGGGGAGUUAGGACUGUUACUUUGAAAAAAUUAGAGUGUUUAAAGCAGGCAUUAGCUUGAAUACAUUAGCAUGGAAUAAUGAAAUAGGACGUUCGAUCCUAUUUUGUUGGUUUCUAGGAUCAACGCAAUGAUUAAUAGGGAUAGUUGGGGGCAUUAGUAUUCAAUUGUCAGAGGUGAAAUUCUUGGAUUUAUUGAAGACUAACUACUGCGAAAGCAUUUGCCAAGGAUGUUUUCAUUAAUCAAGAACGAAAGUUAGGGGAUCGAAGACGAUCAGAUACCGUCGUAGUCUUAACCAUAAACUAUGCCGACUAGGGAUCGGAUGAUGUUAAUUUUUUAAUGACUCAUUCGGCGCCUUACG
Molecule: ribosomal RNA, 523 nt
Filed under: uncultured Glomus
Lineage: Eukaryota; Fungi; Glomeromycota; Glomeromycetes; Glomerales; Glomeraceae
Description: SSU rRNA
Rfam family: Eukaryotic small subunit ribosomal RNA
Source: RNAcentral